UAAAAUAGGGGAGUUUGAUUAUAGCUCAAAGCUUAUAUUGCAAGAUGCAUUCCAUGGUAUUGUAAAAUAAUUGGGGAAAGUACACCUCGACACCAGCAGUUAAACUUGGUAAAUUAAAGAAAUUUUAACCCAGCUUUUUGUAUUUAUUGGGGCUAAUUGAUGAAUGCCAGCAGCCGCGGUUAUAUUCAGAUCAUUCAUAAGCUUUAGCAGAUUGGCUAGAUGCUGUGAAAACCAGGAGACUAUAAAAAAAGAUAAACAGUGUAAUGUAAGUCUUUUGCUGUUAAAAUCUUGUUGUCUGUGUAAGUUUCUAGUGAACUUAUGAAGAGAAACUAGGAUUAGAUACCCUAUUAUCCAUAACUUAAAAAAUGGUUUCUUCUUAACUAAGCAUUGGGUUGUCAAAGAGAAAUAAAUAGGCGGUGUCUGAGCUAAAAAACAGAGGAUCCUGGGCAUUAAGGGACAAUCCACCUUCAGUUCUACCUUAUUUUAUUAAAGCGCGUGUAUGGUUGUCUACUCUAAUGUUAAAACGUCCGGGUUGAUGCACUUAGUUUAUUUUAGAUAAGCUAAGAAAUAAUUCAGAUUUACAUGCGGCUAUAUUAAGGGAGUUCUGGGAUACAAUUGCAACUGAAGCAAUUAAGCUUUUUCGGAAGAAUUUAACGAAAAAAUAAAGAGAAAUCUUAUUUUGAAGAAGGAUUUGUAAGUAAACACUUCAAAUUAUGUUGUGUUGAAUACAAUCAGAUGAGUACUAACUGCCCGUCGCUCGCGGAGAAAUCUGUGAAAAGCCGUAACAAGGUAGCGGUAACGGAAGUUGUCGCUAAUUUAAU
This 821-nucleotide non-coding RNA is filed under the name Mytilus californianus (California mussel). The record is from RNAcentral. Lineage: Eukaryota; Metazoa; Mollusca; Bivalvia; Mytilida; Mytilidae.